ACGGGAGGCAGCAGUGGGGAAUAUUGGGCAAUGGGCGAAAGCCUGAUCCAGCGACGCCGCGUGAGUGAAGAAGUAUUUCGGUAUGUAAAGCUCUAUCAGCAGGGAAGAUAAUGACGGUACCUGACUAAGAAGCCCCGGCUAACUACGUGCCAGCAGCCGCGGUAAUACGUAGGGGGCAAGCGUUAUCCGGAUUUACUGGGUGUAAAGGGAGCGUAGACGGUAUGGCAAGUCUGAUGUGAAAACCCAGGGCUCAACCCUGGGACUGCAUUGGAAACUGUCAAACUAGAGUGCAGGAGAGGUAAGUGGAAUUCCUAGUGUAGCGGCGAAAUGCGCAGAUAUUAGGAGGAACACCAGUGGCGAAGGCGGCUUACUGGACUGUAACUGACGUUGAGGCUCGAAAGCGUGGGGAGCAAACAGGAUUAGAUACCCUGGUA
RNAcentral lists this ribosomal RNA (434 nucleotides) under uncultured Lachnospiraceae bacterium. RNAcentral describes it as "partial 16S ribosomal RNA". It matches the Rfam family "Bacterial small subunit ribosomal RNA", at positions 341 to 792 of the family's 1533-position model. The record is from RNAcentral. Lineage: Bacteria; Bacillati; Bacillota; Clostridia; Lachnospirales; Lachnospiraceae.